CUUGGUCAUUUAGAGGAAGUAAAAGUCGUAACAAGGUUUCCGUAGGUGAACCUGCGGAAGGAUCACUAGUGAUUAAAUCGAGAGCGUCUUAAUUGACCUCUCACCCUUCACAUCCACAUACACCCUGUGAAUCGUUUGGCUUUUCAUUAACAGAGCGCAAGCUCGACGAGUGAAAAGUCAUCAUUUAUACAUACCCCAGUCUUAUGAAUGUAACAGUUUUAAUAAACAUAAUAAAACUUUUAACAACGGAUCUCUUGGUUCUCGCAUCGAUGAAGAACGCAGCGAAAUGCGAUAAGUAAUGUGAAUUGCAGAAUUCAGUGAAUCAUCGAAUCUUUGAACGCACCUUGCGCUCCUUGGUAUUCCGAGGAGCGUGCCUGUUUGAGUGUCAUGAAACUCUCACCCUUCAACUUUCUUAAUAGUGGUUGCGGACGUGGACUUGAGCGUUGCUGGUUUUUAUUAACCGGCUCGCUUGAAAUGAAUUAGCAGAUCCUUUUUGUAAUCGGUUCCACUCGACGUGAUAAGUAUUUCGCCGAGGACAUCUUAACGGAUGGCCGAGAUAAAGAAAGUCUUAGAUCCGCUUCUAAUUCUUAGCUUUACGCAAGUAAACUAAACCCAUUUUAUGAUCUGGCCUCAAAUCAGGUAGGACUACCCGCUGAACUUAAGCAUAUCAAUAAGCGGAGGAAAAGAAACUAACAAGGAUUCCCCUAGUAACGGCGAGUGAAGCGGGAUGAGCUCAAAUUUAAAAUCUUGCAGCCUCAGGUUGUACGAGUUGUAGUCUAGAGAAUCGUUUUCCGCGUUGGCCUGUGUACAAGUCCCUUGGAACAGGGCGUCAUAGAGGGUGAGAAUCCCGUCCUUGACACAGACUACCAAUGCUUUGUGGUGCGAUCUCGAAGAGUCGAGUUGUUUGGGAAU
RNAcentral lists this small RNA (912 nucleotides) under uncultured Cryptococcus. RNAcentral describes it as "eukaryotic LSU rRNA". The stretch from base 626 to 912 matches the Rfam family "Eukaryotic large subunit ribosomal RNA", at positions 1 to 281 of the family's 3401-position model. Lineage: Eukaryota; Fungi; Basidiomycota; Tremellomycetes. The record is from RNAcentral.